Molecule: long non-coding RNA, 283 nt
Filed under: Mus caroli (Ryukyu mouse)
Lineage: Eukaryota; Metazoa; Chordata; Mammalia; Rodentia; Muridae
Description: lncRNA (MGP_CAROLIEiJ_G0003392.1)
Source: RNAcentral
CACAGAAGAGUUGAGCAGCUACAAGUUUGCGGAGUCCCGGAGGAAGUGUGCGGCUGGAGGCGAGGCUUUCCAUGUCAGGGUCCUAAAGAGUCUUACUAUAUCGCUCAUGCUGUUCUCCACCUCCCGGGAUCAAACCGCCCACAUCAGCUUCCAGAAUCAAAGGGAAGAUAGAUGUGUGUGUGCUACCCGCCUGGCAAGCCCUAAAGUUGAGAUGUGGAAACGUGGGUGCACUGAAUGUCUGUUCUACUGAGUGUUCUAAGAGUGUUGUCCUUCUGACCUUGGG